GCGCCCGUAGCUCAGUGGAUCAGAGCAGCUGACUUCGGAUCAGCAGGUCGGGAGUUCGAAUCUCUCCGGGCGCGCCA
RNAcentral lists this transfer RNA (77 nucleotides) under Chloroflexota bacterium. Its description in RNAcentral is "tRNA-Arg". It matches the Rfam family "tRNA". Rfam says of the family: Transfer RNA (tRNA) molecules are approximately 80 nucleotides in length. Their secondary structure includes four short double-helical elements and three loops (D, anti-codon, and T loops). The record is from RNAcentral. Lineage: Bacteria; Bacillati; Chloroflexota. RNAcentral also lists the same sequence under 1 other name.